AGUGAACGCUGGCGGUAGGCCUAACACAUGCAAGUCGAACGGCAGCACAGUAAGAGCUUGCUCUUACGGGUGGCGAGUGGCGGACGGGUGAGGAAUACAUCGGAAUCUACUUUUUCGUGGGGGAUAACGUAGGGAAACUUACGCUAAUACCGCAUACGACCUACGGGUGAAAGCAGGGGAUCUUCGGACCUUGCGCGAUUGAAUGAGCCGAUGUCGGAUUAGCUAGUUGGCGGGGUAAAGGCCCACCAAGGCGACGAUCCGUAGCUGGUCUGAGAGGAUGAUCAGCCACACUGGAACUGAGACACGGUCCAGACUCCUACGGGAGGCAGCAGUGGGGAAUAUUGGACAAUGGGCGCAAGCCUGAUCCAGCCAUACCGCGUGGGCGAAGAAGGCCUUCGGGUUGUAGAGCCCUUUUGUUGGGAAAGAAAAGCAGCAGGUUAAUACCCCGCUGUUCUGACGGUACCCAAAGAAUAAGCACCGGCUAACUUCGUG
RNAcentral lists this ribosomal RNA (492 nucleotides) under uncultured bacterium. RNAcentral's name for it is "partial 16S ribosomal RNA". It matches the Rfam family "Bacterial small subunit ribosomal RNA", at positions 29 to 507 of the family's 1533-position model. The record is from RNAcentral.